Molecule: RNA transcript, 2766 nt
Organism: Gorilla gorilla gorilla (western lowland gorilla)
Lineage: Eukaryota; Metazoa; Chordata; Mammalia; Primates; Hominidae
Gene: TESPA1
Gene name: thymocyte expressed, positive selection associated 1
Exons: 10
Source: RefSeq, a predicted model, not a curated record
GUGGGCCUGACAUCUUGGGCACUUUCCAGGUUCUUGGGAGGAAGGGAGAAAAGAAGCAGAGAGAGAGAAGAAAUAUCUACUAUUUUUAUAUACGGUGUAUUCCUCUCAUAUCUUAAAGAAAAGCUUUAUGUAGAAAAAAAGAUUCAUGACGCAGCUUAUGUAAGAAUAAACUUGUGGAAUGGAAUUAGUUGCAGGGAGGAGGUCUGAUUUCGUUCAGUUCUCACAGUGAUCUAGUGUCUGACUUUUCUAGGGAAUCCAAUCAAUAAAAUUGAAGACUGGCUGCAGGAUUGCGGAUACUCUGAAGAAGGAUUUUCUGAGGAAGUGGGACAGUUUAUCUACAAUGGCUUCUGCAGCCAUGGGACCAGCUUUGAAGAUGACUUGACCCUGGGAGCAGAGGCCGCACUACUGGCCGCCAAUGGCAAACUCUUCUCCAGGAGUUUCCUCGAGACAGCCAGGCCUUGCCAGCUACUUGAUCUUGGCUGUAGUUUGGCUUCCAGCAGCAUGACUGGGGGGACCAACAAGACUAGUUCAAGCAUCUCAGAAAUUCUGGACAAAGUGCAAGAAGAUGCAGAAGAUGUCCUCUUCAGUCUGGGCUUUGGCCAAGAGGAUCACAAAGACACUUCUCGGAUACCCGCCCGAUUUUUCACCACCCCCUCUCAGGCCAAGGGCAUUGAUUUCCAGCUCUUCCUGAAGUCCCAGGUGCGGAGGAUUGAAAUGGAAGACCCCUGCCUCAUGCUGGCCAGCAGGUUUAAGCAGGUGCAAACACUGGCUGUCACUGCUGAUGCCUUCUUCUGUCUCUACUCCUAUGUGUCUAAGACACCUGUCCAAAAGUUCACACCAUCCCACAUGUUCUGGAAUUGCAACCAUCCAACUGAUGUGCCCUCCAUCAGGAUUCUGUCCCGAGAACCUGAACCCCAGUCACCCAGAGACCGCCUUCGGAAAGCCAUCUCCAAGAUGUGUCUGUACACAUGCCCCCGAGACCGGCCACCACCACCCCACAACACCCCCAAAAGGAACAGUUUGGACCAAGUUGUGUUGGAAGUGAUGGACAAAGUGAAAGAAGAGAAGCAGUUCCUCCAGCAAGACUCUGAUUUGGGGCAAUUCUCACAGGAAGAUCCUGUGCCCCCUGUUGAGGGUAAAAAGUUGCCCACUUCUCCCUAUCCAUGUGUCCUCUGCUGCAAAGAGGAAACACAGCAAAGGAUGUCCACAGUGCUAGCACCAUCCCAAACUCUGGAUUCGAAACCCAAGGUACCCUGUUGCACACAUUCUCUGCCCAUAGAAGAUCCACAGUGGAGCACAGACCCAGCUCAGAUAAGGAGAGAGCUGUGUAGUCUACCAGCCACCAAUACGGAAACCCAUCCAGCCAAGGAUGAGACUUUCUGGAAAAGAAAGAGCAGAGCAAGAAAGAGCCUCUUCCAGAAGAAUCUCAUGGGCAGGAAGGUUAAGUCCUUGGACCUGUCCAUCACCCAGCAGAAAUGGAAGCAGAGUGUAGACAGACCAGAACUGCGUCGGUCUUUAAGCCAGCAGCCACAGGACACUUUUGACUUGGAGGAGGUGCAAAGCAACAGUGAGGAGGAGCAGAGUCAGAGUCGCUGGCCCAGCCGACCCAGGCACCCCCACCACCACCAGACUUUUGCUGGCAAAGACUCGUGAAGAGGCCCUCACCAGAUGCAGGCUUUUGACCUUGGAUUUGCCAGCCUCCAGAAUUGCUUUCUCCACCACCACAACAGCAUGUGGUCUGACAGAAUUGGCUUCAUAGAAGAACCUAAAAGCCACCUCUUGCAGGAAACUGCACUGCCCUCAACAUCCAGCCCCUACUCCUUGGUCCUCCAAACCCCCAAACUCUGCAGGAGAAAGGCAGCAUGGUACAUGGGGAGGAAGACCAGACUGAGCGAUUUGGAAUCCACAUCCUAAUGCUGCCACAAGCUGCAUGCACAAAGACCUUAGGCACAUCACUUCAUUUCUCUCUACACUGGUUUCUCUACUAUGUGUGUAUUAAAAUAUAUAAUGUGGACGAUAGUAAACUGAACAAAGCCUUAAUUUUCUCCCAAGCUUUGACAUUGCCAAGGGCAGUUAGGAGACUUCAGGAUCAAGUGUAGGGGACAAGUUUUUUUCUAAUACUUUCAAAAGGCCCAAGUGAAGAGAGGAAGGACACCUCACUUUCUGGCUCUAAAAGCAUGGUACAUCUCACACUAGGAUUCCCUCUGCACCUCUGUUCAUCCCUGUGUUCCUAACUAAAUUCCAGAAAGUCUUCCACAACACCGGAGUCCUAUUUUUCUUCUUGAGACCUCCUUUGAAGAAAUCAACUUGGAGGCUCCUCCUUAAAUCCAGUUUCUUUCUCUACCCAAAAUUUUGCAUCUUUAUAGAAAAAGAGAUAAGUAGGAUUCAGAGUCUCUUCUCCUAGCCAUUGCGGGGGGAAAAAAUGCUAUUUCUGCUGGCAGAAAACAAUACAAAUAUUUUUUUUAAAUCAUGGCAUGUUUUUAAAGUUAAUUAACAGCUGUAGUUUGCUUUGGAAGUUAAAUGUUUUGUCAAUAAACAGGGCUUGAGCACAUGCAGUGCUCUCUUAGGCAGUAUGUGGUUUCAGAGCAUCUUGGACACAUUUCUCCCCUGAGAAAAUAUUAGCAUUAAUAGAAUGGGAGAAGUCAGAUGCACGCAUUUCCAGAAGUAUAUUAUUUGGCUGCCUAAUAAAUUGUGAGACCAAAAAAAAACAAAACAAAACAGGAAGAGAGGGACUUGAGGGAAUUUGAGGGAAAUCAUAACCAAAAA